Molecule: ribosomal RNA, 468 nt
Filed under: uncultured bacterium
Lineage: Bacteria
Description: partial 16S ribosomal RNA
Rfam family: Bacterial small subunit ribosomal RNA
Source: RNAcentral
GACGAACGCUGGCGGCGUGCUUAACACAUGCAAGUCGAACGGAAAGUCCCUGCUUUUGUGGGGUGCUCGAGUGGCGAACGGGUGAGUAACACGUGAGUAACCUGCCCUUGACUUUGGGAUAACUUCAGGAAACUGGGUCUAAUACCGGAUAGGAUCUCCUGCUUCAUGGUGGGGGUUGGAAAGUUUCGGCGGUUGGGGAUGGACUCGCGUCUUAUCGGCUUGUUGGUGGGGUAGUGUCUUACCAAGGCUUUGACGGGUAGCCGGCCUGAGAGGGUGACAGGCCACAGUGGGACUGAGAUACGGCCCAGACUACUACGGGAGGCAGCAGUGGGGAAGAUUGCACAAGGGGAGGAAGCCUGAUGCAGCAACGCCGCGUGCGGGAUGACGGCCUUCGGGUUGUAAACCGAUUUCGCCUGUGACGAAGCGUGAGUGACGGUAAUGGGUAAAGAAGCACCGGCUAACUACGUG